UGACAAAGUUCAACGGCCGCGGUACCCUAACCGUGCGAAGGUAGCAUAAUCACUUGUUCUUUAAAUGAGGACUCGUAUCAACGGCACUACGAGGGCUAUACUGUCUCCUUUUUCUAAUCAGUGAAACUGAUCUCCCCGUGAAGAAGCGGGGAUCAAAAUAUAAGACGAGAAGACCCCAUGGAGCUUUAAACUCACUAUACACCUCUGUGCCUUUAUGUCACUAGACACAAGAGAUCUGCGUACUAGUUUUAGGUUGGGGGGACCACGGAGUAUAAUUUAACCUCCAUAACAAAUGGGCUAACACCCUUAUCUACGAGACACAACUCUAAGAAUUACUAAACUAAUGCUUAUGACCCGGUAUUCGAUCAAUGAACCAAGUUACCCUGGGGAUAACAGCGCAAUCUACUUCAAGAGCCCAUAUCGACAAGUGGGUUUACGACCUCGAUGUUGGAUCAGGGUAUCCCGGUGGUGCAGCCGCUACCGACGGUUCGUUUGUUCAACGAUUAAAACCCUACGUGAUCUGAG
Molecule: ribosomal RNA, 525 nt
Filed under: Rana graeca (Greek frog)
Lineage: Eukaryota; Metazoa; Chordata; Amphibia; Anura; Ranidae
Description: partial large subunit ribosomal RNA
Rfam family: Bacterial large subunit ribosomal RNA
Source: RNAcentral